RNAcentral lists this ribosomal RNA (533 nucleotides) under uncultured bacterium. Its description in RNAcentral is "bacterial SSU rRNA". It matches the Rfam family "Bacterial small subunit ribosomal RNA", at positions 56 to 583 of the family's 1533-position model. The record is from RNAcentral.
UGCAGUCGAGCGGCAGCGCGGGGGCAACCCUGGCGGCGAGCGGCGAACGGGUGAGGAAUACAUCGGAACGUACCCCGGAGUGGGGGAUAACGCCGCGAAAGCGGCGCUAAUACCGCAUAUGCUCUGUGGAGGAAAGUGGGGGACCCGCAAGGGCCUCACGCUCUGGGCGCGGCCGAUGUCCGAUUAGCUAGUUGGUGAGGUAAUGGCUCACCAAGGCGACGAUCGGUAGCUGGUCUGAGAGGAUGAUCAGCCACACUGGGACUGAGACACGGCCCAGACUCCUACGGGAGGCAGCAGUGGGGAAUUUUGGACAAUGGGGGCAACCCUGAUCCAGCCAUGCCGCGUGCGGGAAGAAGGCCUUCGGGUUGUAAACCGCUUUUAGUCGGGAAGAAAAGGCGCCACCUAAUACGGGGCGUUCUUGACGGUACCGGCGGAAUAAGCACCGGCUAACUACGUGCCAGCAGCCGCGGUAAUACGUAGGGUGCGAGCGUUAAUCGGAAUUACUGGGCGUAAAGCGUGCGUAGGCGGUUCGU